RNAcentral lists this ribosomal RNA (487 nucleotides) under uncultured bacterium. RNAcentral describes it as "bacterial SSU rRNA". It matches the Rfam family "Bacterial small subunit ribosomal RNA", at positions 26 to 507 of the family's 1533-position model. The record is from RNAcentral.
AGAACGAACGCUGGCGGCGCGCCUAAUACAUGCAAGUCGAGCGAGAAGGUGUAGCAAUACACUUGUAAAGCGGCGAACGGGUGAGGAAUACAUGGGUAAUCUACCAUCGAGUGGGGAAUAACCAGCCGAAAGGUUGGCUAAUACCGCGUACGCUUCCGAGUCUUCGGGCUUGGAAGGAAAGCCGCACUGUGAGUGCGGCGCUCUUUGAUGAGCUCAUGUCCUAUCAGCUUGUUGGUAGGGUAACGGCCUACCAAGGCUUUGACGGGUAGCUGGUCUGAGAGGACGAUCAGCCACACUGGCACUGCGACACGGGCCAGACUCCUACGGGAGGCAGCAGUAAGGAAUAUUGCGCAAUGGGCGAAAGCCUGACGCAGCGACGCCGCGUGGGGGAUGAAGGUCUUCGGAUUGUAAACCCCUUUCGGGAGGGAAGGUGGAGCGAGCAAUCGUUCGGACGGUACCUCCAGAAGCAGCCACGGCCAACUUCGUG